RNAcentral lists this non-coding RNA (121 nucleotides) under Tessaracoccus bendigoensis. Lineage: Bacteria; Bacillati; Actinomycetota; Actinomycetes; Propionibacteriales; Propionibacteriaceae. The record is from RNAcentral.
GCGAAGUCUGCCAGACUUGGCAGCGCACGAGGUCGCGAGGAAGCCGGUGGAAAUCCGGCACGGUCCCGCCACUGUUACCCCGUCGGGGGAGUCAGGAACUCGUCUCGUGCGAGUCGUUUCC